Molecule: long non-coding RNA, 176 nt
Filed under: Salvator merianae (Argentine black and white tegu)
Lineage: Eukaryota; Metazoa; Chordata; Lepidosauria; Squamata; Teiidae
Description: lncRNA (ENSSMRG00000000544.1)
Source: RNAcentral
GUUGUAUUGAGGCUGUGCUUCCCUUGUUCCUCUUUCCAGAACUGGAUCCGCUCACAUUUCCAGGGCUCCUUCUGGACAGGGUUGAAUGAUCUGAAGGAAGAGUCUGUAUUCCGGUGGACAACACAGGAGGCCCUCAAUCAGCAGAUGGCACAAUCACUCUUUGUCUGCAUGUGGGA